This 208-nucleotide unclassified non-coding RNA is filed under the name soil metagenome. RNAcentral describes it as "partial contains 5.8S ribosomal RNA, internal transcribed spacer 2, and large subunit ribosomal RNA". The record is from RNAcentral.
AACCUUAUGGACCUGCGGGCGUAUACCUGCGGAAGGAUCAUUACUGAGUGAGGGCCUUCGGGCUCGACCUCCAACCCUUUGUGAACACAACUUGUUGCUUCGGGGGCGACCCUGCCGUUUCGACGGCGAGCGCCCCCGGAGGCCUUCAAACACUGCAUCUUUGCGUCGGAGUUUAAGUAAAUUAAACAAAACUUUCAACAAUGGAUCU